Molecule: ribosomal RNA, 603 nt
Filed under: uncultured fungus
Lineage: Eukaryota; Fungi
Description: eukaryotic LSU rRNA
Rfam family: Eukaryotic large subunit ribosomal RNA
Source: RNAcentral
ACCCGCUGAACUUAAGCAUAUCAAUAAGCGGAGGAAAAGAAACCAACAGGGAUUGCCCUAGUAACGGCGAGUGAAGCGGCAACAGCUCAAAUUUGAAAUCUGGCUCUUUUAGAGUCCGAGUUGUAAUUUGCAGAGGGCGCUUUGGCUUUGGCAGCGGUCCAAGUUCCUUGGAACAGGACGUCACAGAGGGUGAGAAUCCCGUACGUGGUCGCUGGCUAUUGCCGUGUAAAGCCCCUUCGACGAGUCGAGUUGUUUGGGAAUGCAGCUCUAAAUGGGAGGUACAUUUCUUCUAAAGCUAAAUAUUGGCCAGAGACCGAUAGCGCACAAGUAGAGUGAUCGAAAGAUGAAAAGCACUUUGGAAAGAGAGUCAAACAGCACGUGAAAUUGUUGAAAGGGAAGCGCUUGCAGCCAGACUUGCUUACAGUUGCUCAUCCGGGCUUUUGCCCGGUGCACUCUUCUGUAGGCAGGCCAGCAUCAGUUUGGGCGGUAGGAUAAAGGUCUCUGUCACGUACCUCUCUUCGGGGAGGCCUUAUAGGGGAGACGACAUACUACCAGCCCGGACUGAGGUCCGCGCAUCUGCUAGGAUGCUGGCGUAAUGGCUGU